GAAGGCAGUACAAAGCCAUGUCAGCUC
RNAcentral lists this non-coding RNA (27 nucleotides) under Rattus norvegicus (Norway rat). The record is from RNAcentral. Lineage: Eukaryota; Metazoa; Chordata; Mammalia; Rodentia; Muridae.